Molecule: transfer RNA, 76 nt
Filed under: Bacillota bacterium
Lineage: Bacteria; Bacillati; Bacillota
Description: tRNA-Met
Rfam family: tRNA
About the family: Transfer RNA (tRNA) molecules are approximately 80 nucleotides in length. Their secondary structure includes four short double-helical elements and three loops (D, anti-codon, and T loops).
Source: RNAcentral
GGACCAUUAGCUCAACGGUUAGAGCAGUCGGCCCAUAACCGAUUGGUUUGAGGUUCAAAUCCUUAAUGGUCCACCA